Molecule: ribosomal RNA, 252 nt
Filed under: uncultured bacterium
Lineage: Bacteria
Description: partial 16S ribosomal RNA
Rfam family: Bacterial small subunit ribosomal RNA
Source: RNAcentral
UACGGGGGGGCAAGCGUUGUUCGGAAUUACUGGGCGUAAAGGGCUCGUAGGCGGCCAACUAAGUCGGACGUGAAAUCCCUCGGCUUAACCGGGGAACUGCGUCCGAUACUGGAUGGCUUGAGUUUGGGAGAGGGAUGCGGAAUUCCAGGUGUAGCGGUGAAAUGCGUAGAUAUCUGGAGGAACACCGGUGGCGAAGGCGGCAUCCUGGACCAAUACUGACGCUGAGGAGCGAAAGCCAGGGGAGCAAACGGG